CUUUGCCAGCAUCCCAACCUGUAGUGCAUUCACUAUAGUGGGGAUCGCGGCUUCAACCUGCCUACUUAGAAUCACAGAAUCAUAGAAUUACUCAGGUUGGAAAAGACCUUAAAGAUCAUCAAGUCCAAGCGCAACCUGACCGUACUACCCCAACUCUUGAAACGGCCUAAACGGACAUUAAUAAGACUGUAAACAGCGAAGAGCAAGGCCUCUCCCUUUAGCAAGAGGAGGAUGUUACAUGGACCCAGCCACAUGCUGCAUUGUACCACUGCAUAACAAGGGAUAUGGUGACAUGCGAAUCUUCACAGGACUCUUGUUUUUCGACUAUCUGCUGGACAACUAAGGAGAUCACCAGGCUGUUAGGAUGAAUGCCAGAUGGGAGGCAGGUCUUGGCAUAAGGGAGCACACAGAAUUUUGGCAACAAGCUGAGAGUGGAAUAGGCUGCACAACCUAGACAUGCCCAAGCCUUCUUGACACGGGAACAGCUUCUCUUCCCUAUGCCAGUGGUUCGCUCAGUGCCAGCUCCAACGCACACCCCCCUUCCAGGAAUGGCUCUCAUCCAUGCUGGCAAACAAAAUGAUAGAGAAGAAAAUAUGAAAUUACUCUUCAAAAUGUAAGUGGAAGGAUGAGCACGGCGCCAAGUGAGAAGUAUCCAAAUGUGAGAUCCCACACUGCUACAUGUCAGUUGGAAAUAUGACACAUAUACAGAAAGUCAAGCAAACAGGUUCGUCCACAAAGGGAAGAUAAAGGAGAUCAUUUGCAUUUUGGAUAAUAAAAUAUUUAAAGCAGCACUGUAGAAAUUAUAAAUAAAAACACUAACUGCAGUCACCAAGAACCCAAGCACCCCAUGUGGAACCUGGCCAGCAAACCCCUUCAUUAAGUACAAUAUGAUCAGAAGGAAAUACAAAAGUGCCUACAGACCUCUGAAGGCCAGCAGGUAAUGCAAGCCAAUUGGUUAUUCAGUUCUAAUUAAGGGAUACUUAUUUUGGACAACUAACAGAAGAAUAAAGCAUGAGUUCGGGGUGAAGUAAAGUCUACUUUAUUUAACAAUCUGUGACUGAUUACAAGGGAGCAGCAAGUUCCAGAUGGGUGGGAGUGCUUACAGAAACCUCUACUUUCCUACAACUUACAAUCAAUGCUUUUAGUUUCCAUGCAUUGUAACACUGCCACUUAACACUAAAGUAUAGCAGAACGAAAAUUUGAAACCAACUUUGCACCAAAAUUCGGGGGAUAAACAGGCCGUGCUUUUCCACUCAAUAAAGGUUGGAGUUCAAGCUUCUAAUUUUAGCAUCACUCAAGACGAGGCUUGACUUAGAUUGCUCCUUGGUCCAGCCCUUAGCUCUGACCUAACUCUAACAAACUGAUUAAUUCUGUUGAGUAGAAUUUGCAAGCUUUUGGGGGCAGGGAUCAUGCCUGCUUCCGUGCUGUAGAAAAAUAAUCAUGCGGGUAAUAUUUUAAAAUACUAUUCACUCUAGCUAUUACUUAUUUGAAACUAUUUGUUUUUAAGAGCUACUGUCAUUUUGAAAUGAACAAUCAUUUCGCUUUUUAAAUUCAUCUUAUUCAUGUCCUUGUAUUUAUUACUGUAGUUGUGCAAAUCACAUGGAAGCAUGGAAAUCCCAACAGCUUGUGAAAAAGCAGACUCUUUUCUGUUAUAAUUGCAAUUUCAAGAAAUUGUUCAUUUUUAUGUUCAGAAAAGGCGCUGUAUGUUAACAUUGUGAUUCCCGUUAUGUGCCUUUGCCUACCCCAUACCUAAUCCCCACAGUCUUGGCACAGCAGUGGAAAAGCAGCAGGACCACGAGUAAUGAUAAAAGCCUGGAACUCAGCAGCCUUAAUUGAUUCAUAUUCUGUGGAAAGAAAAAGAAAAGGCCUACGUUUGUCUCCUUGCAGAGCUCCGAAGCAAGCCUUGCUAGACAGUGUAUGUGCAUUGGCUCACCACUCCUUCACAGCUCAACACAGUUAGGUAAGAAAAACACCGCACAACUUUCAUCCAUGAGGACUUACCUAGCAACCUGAUGUAAAAGAGUUAACAACUGAUGUUUCCAUUAAAUCCGAACUACCUCUCAGUUUUGCAGUAGUCUGAAAUAAUCCUUGUUUUGUACCCAUUUACAUGGAUAAAUGGAGGCAUCUGAUAACAAGUAACACACAAACCUCACUCUGAAAAAAGGUCAAUUCAUUUUAAAUGGAUGUACACGGUAUUAUUUCGAGUUACUGUUAAAACAAACAAGACAAGCUAAAGCCUUCCCACGCACUGUGCUACUACUUACCAAGAAUUAAAAGCUCUGCAUUCAGAACCUAAUGGACACAGAUACACCUAUAGGCAUCCGUGUGUACUCUGAACAGAAAUCAAUAUUAUCACAUCACAGCAGCCAGCCAGGAUGAUAUGCAGCCUCCCUGAACUCUGCAACCCCAAAAGGCAGUCACCUCAGUGCUAAACUUUCAAGGACCAACUGUAGGUUCCUUAGCUGGGAAUUCAUUGUCUGAUAAGAACAACAACAACAAUUAGAAGUCCUCGAAACCUUCUUGAGAAAGCUUCUCUUUUCUCUAUGCUUAUUAACCUCAACUCUGCAUUUGUUUUUGACAAAGUAAGACUGAGGACGGAUAUCUCCAAGGAUUGAUUAUAGGAUGAGUAUGACGUUGGCCAGCUUUGUGAACGCAGUGAAGGUCAAAACAGACCAAACAGUGGGGUAGGAGCUGCUAAUGGUAACACAAAACCACAGGUACUGAACUAACACAACAAAAAACACCUUUUUACAAAUAAAACCAGUUGGCCCUCACUCCAAAAGUCUCAGCUCAGUGACUAGGGAUAGGACUUACUGCUAGGAGAUGUCCCACCAGCUCAUGUUUGUGGCACCACUAGUUAGGCAGAAUGGCUGUUCAUUGGAAGGGUUAAUGACAAGAUCCUAAUGCUGAGCAGUGCAUCAGUUAAUAUUCCAGCAUACAUUUCCUAAGUGUGUUUUAGGAGAGUUUAAUACUAGCAUCAAUAUCAGAAAUAUUUUCUAUAGAUUUAAAAUUAUAGUUGCUCAAGAGCUGCCAUACUCUCCAUCUUUCUUAGGUAGGGAUGCUCAGGAACUUUCUGUUAGGUUUUUUUGGAUGAAAAAACAGUCUUCGUUAAAUCCAACAGUUCGACACAAUAAAUUGGAUUGUUUCAAAAUCUCGUAAUGAAAUUAAAUAUUUUGAGGCAAAAUCAGCUCAGUUUGAAACCUUUCAGUAUAUUUCAGAUACAUACACAUGGCUAUACCUGAUGGCAUUUUUCCUAACCCAUUUUUGCAAGCAAAUGAAGAAACUAUGGAGCAGUUAGUGUAGAACUAAAGGAGUGCAGGGAAAGUAUGAGUUAAAUAUAUAUAAAAAUAAAUAAAUAAAUAUAUAGUUUUACAGAAAUUAAAAACUGAGAACUGUACAUCUCAGUUUAUCCUCAAUUAACAGAAAAUCUGCAAUAAAAGGUCAAACUUUUUGUAAGCAUUCGGACAAGGAGGUAAAUAGUACACACAUCAGUAUUGAUGCGUCAAUAAAAUAUCAUGUUAAAUGAUUUCUGAUUCUUUCUGUUGCUUAUAGUUCUGUGCCCAGCAUGGAGGUAGUAGCUGCCAGACCCGGAUUUUAGUUCAGUUUUUGCAACUGUCUGACAUUACCUCCAGAGAAGUAAACCACCACACAAUCUUUAAGAAACGUGGUCUUUCUGGAACUAUCGUAGGGGUAGACAGAAAAACCACAUGUUAUUAUAGAUAAUACAUUAUUAAUUGUUCUGUUGAGUUGUUCUUUUCUCUCUUGGUGUAUUAAUAGCAGAUAAAACAUGUAAUCAACUUGAUCUUGCCUGGUUAAACAAAUCAAGCCUUUUAUCCUUUUUCAUUACACAGACUCACUCUCAGUUCCACAGAUUAUUUUUAUAGCCACUUUUCAACUGCUUCCAGUCUAAAUUAAUCCUUUUAAUACACAAGCAAACAGAGAUGUACACAAUAUUCUAGAUACUUUGUACAGUGACUUUCUUCCCUCUUUUGCUGGAAAUACCAAACCUGAUACAUUUCUACACAUGUAUUGUCUUUUUCACAUUGCCACAACUGAUGUUCCAAAGGAAUGCCAGGACAUGUCCAGGUUUUUCCCCUCAGUCUUUUGAACCGAGGAAAUUAACAGAUGUAGCAAACAUUCUGGUUGUUAGCUCUUAACUAAGUGACCUUCGUGCUUAGGCUGUGAAGUUUUAUCUGUUAAUCCUCUGAUCCUCAAAGUUGUUUAAUUGCUUAUUGUGGCAUUGGGAUCCUGCCCUAUAACGACACAGCCUCUCAAAUUCGUAUGGCUGGUUUCUGCUUAAAAAGAAGCUAUAUGAACAAUUAAAGUUUAUUCUCUAUUGGUUCUCUUUUUCCCCUUUAUUUAGGUUUACACAGAAUGACGACAAAUCACAGAUUAAAAAAAAAAUGAACAGAAACAGAAACCAACAGCAUGAAGUUUUGAGUUAUUAAUUCCAUAACUGUCACAACCCAACCCUCUCAUUGCUGAAAGACUGGUGGGUUGUUUAUGCCUUUUAACCCCCGUGAUAGGUUUAUAUUGAUUGAACACGUUCAAAGCUGACACUGUAAGGUGAAAAAACAAACAAACAAACAAAAAAACUGAAAACUGCAGUUCCCAAUCAGGCAAUUGGCUUUGCCAAAGGUCAGCUCUGUACGAGAGAUCACGGUUUUAAAACAUACAUUAUUUUAUCUCUAAAUAACAUGAAAGAUACUAUUCAUCAACAACUUUGCCAGUGCAUAAUGCUGUAAAACAUACUCUUUUCAACACAGUGGUUUUCUCAAAUGCAUAUUGGAACUGAGAGAGUGGUUCUAGGUUUGAUGAUAAAAGGACAAUCUGAAAUUGUAUUGCCUGUUGCAAGUAGAUCAGGCUAGACAACAUGAUGGCUCCUUCUGGUUCUGCAGGUAUCUCUAGAGAUCCUUGUAUCCAAAUGAUGAACAAGGGCCAAUGCAAUAUCCAACAGAGAUUAAACAAACAGCAUUUGAAACAUAAUGCCAUUAAUAAAAAUGUUCUGGAUGUUGGGCUACUUUAAAAAUGCUUUAGGUUUUCUUUUUUGGGGGGGGGGAGGAGAGCACAUUUCAAUAAAAUAAUAAAUGCGUGUGAAGGGAAAGGAUAGGGAAGGUCAGGGCUGACUUGCAUAUUAUAGAUGCUCUUUUUUUUACAGUCUUGUGAUUUGAGCUCUUCCACGGUUUUCAGAAGCAAGCAUUUCAGAUCCAGCAGCCGCACAGGCCCAGUAACUAGUUCUCAUCACAAGUUUCCUAAGGAGUCUCAGCAGACAGAUGGAAACGAUACACAUGCGCAACAGGCAGUGCAGCACAAUAGGGCCACUGUAUAGGGAAUGUGGGAAAUACAGCAUCCCUCCAUCCCUGAGCAGGCUUUAAUGCACUGGAUUGUAACAGCUCCAAAGAAGUGCUUGUGGUCUACUGAGUCAAUCAUCUGUACAUUAAAAAGCCAUAGCUGGCACUGCUAUCUCUUUGGCACAACACUUGAAAAGUAUCAGUUAAAAAGGAAAAAUAAAAGGGAGCAAACCAAAGCCACAGAGAACUCGGAGCCAUUUAGUUACUUGUGACCAGCAAAGCACACGAACACAUGCUUAGGUUGACUCCAGCUAAGCGAAGAAAGGGCUUGCAUCUUUUGCUGAGUCAGGAUCUUAGCACUGAGCAUUUCCUAAAAGUGCUCUGCUGUUGAACACGCUAGGUACAUUCUUAGUUUAAAAUUGAUACCAUGCCAUCCAUCCCACUAUUGGCAGUAAUAGAGCAGCAGCAUCCCCACAUACUAAGAUGCAGUUUCAUAUAUUCCAACGACAUACAUAUUUUUUUAGAGAGAAUCCCUCUUGUGGGUUGGGUGACGAUGGAGCAGAGCUGCUGAGCAGACCCUGUUGCUUUUUAUGACGGUGCCGCUUUCACAGCAAGGUCCUGAGAAAUCCCUCAUCCUGCAGAGACCGAGGAGGAGUUGGGAAACAGCCUGCAAAACCUGGGUGAAAAUGCUGCACAGAAUGAGGGGCAAGCACAUGCAGAAGCAACCCUUCUCUGUCAUGUUCAGGAACCCCUAGAAAACAUUUGCAUUGGUUAUUUUUGAGGAUGAGCAAUGACUGCUCAGCUUGGUAGGGAGAUUUUUUCCUGCUCACAUAUGUUGCUGUGGGGCUGCAUGAAGGAAGUGGGGAGCUAACUAACCUAGAAUACUUGCAUUUCAGGAUAUUAAAAAACAAAAAACAAAAACAAAACCAACACAACAAAGAGAAGAUCUAUGGUAGAGAACAAGAAGAUUUGUUCCUCCCAUUCAUCAGAGAAAGGGAUAUCACAGGAGAGAGAAAAUUGAAAAAUGAAAAAGGGAAGGGGUAAUUUGGAUGUCAGAGAAGCCAGGGUGUGGACCUCAAAAAUACUCCAUGCUAGGUGUCAGCCUUCUAUAUACACAAAGGCAACAGUAAUUAUGAAAACAAACAAUCAGACAGAAGAGUUGACUUAAUCCUUGCUCAAGCAAUAGAAAAGUACAACUCUGAAGGCAAGUACAACAUGAUUAUAAAUAAGAGCUCUGGUCUGUCAUUAAACAGCUAUUUCAGGCUGCUACGAGAAGAACACAGCAACUCAGGAAUUAACAGGACUGAAGCUGUUGCAAUCCUACCCAACUUCAAGCAGAGCCUGUGUCAUACCUGAAGGUUUUAUUUUCACCUAAUAAGACCAAUUGCUCCUUAUUCCUUGAGUGGGGAAGGCACCUCACGACAUGACUACAUGUAUCUGUGUCAUGCAAAGCACUUAGACAUGUACUCAGAGAAGCGUUUCUCUGAGUCUCAGUUUCUCAGAGGAGAAACUACCAACAUCUGCUGAAAACUGUGCUUCUGGUAGAAGUAAGGGUGAUGUGACUGAUGAUUUGCAAACACCAAGCCUUAAGAACUUAUCACUUGGUCAGCUUUUGGACUACAUGUUUACAUAUCCAGUCAAGAACU
Molecule: long non-coding RNA, 6937 nt
Organism: Gallus gallus (chicken)
Lineage: Eukaryota; Metazoa; Chordata; Aves; Galliformes; Phasianidae
Exons: 3
Source: RefSeq, a predicted model, not a curated record